GUCUCGGUUAGUAGGUCUAGGUGCUAUUCAGGCUGGAAUUUUGAGUCUGACCUCCCAGAGCGCAUGCUGCUAGGGGUAGAAACACCUGUCUGGAAACAGAAUAAAUGUCAGAAGGGGAUCUGUCCCUUUGCCUGCUGCUGACCCUUUCCAUGACCAGUGCUGGGGCAGGAGGAGAUGCAGACAACAGUGGGUUUAAGAGCAUCUUACACACAACGUCGUGUCCCAGUUUAUGACUGAGAAUAAGCCAUUAUCACCAUUUUUUCUGUUUGAUUUGUUGUCAUUUUUAUAGGAACAAGGAGAUGAAGGCAUUCUGGAUUUUGUGAAGGUUUCUCAUCUGGCUUUUUAAAAAAACCCAUCAACGCGGCAAGACCCAAGGCUCUGGGAGCAUACUGUAGCCUUUAAAGAGAGUCCUGUGCCUGGAUCCCCUGAAAUGUAUGCUGGGGUUAAUAUGCUGAAAGGUGGCUUCAGAAGCAAAGUGACAUCAAGGUCCUCAAUUCUGUAACUGGCCAUGGCCAUCAUCACUGUCUUCAGGUGAUAAGUGGCUGACUCCAUCACACCCACCCUGCACACUCUCCUCCUGACACAACUGACCUUCCCGUUGUGCCUGAGGGACUGAGAGACUUUCCGUGGCAGAAGGUGGUUGGACCCCACGUGGACAUACGCUGUUUACGGGGGGCGGCAAUCUCUCUCUCUCUCUUUGUGUUGACCUGGUGGUAUUCGCCACCAGCGUGUCCCCCCACCCUCACUGAGGGUAGCCAAGUGGCCCAGGGGGACCAGUGGAGUCCUCUAACCCCAGUCACUGGUCAGAGAUGGGCAAGUGACUGAGUGUGGACAAGUGGCUUUCUCAGUACAAGGCUGUUCACUUCCUCCUGAGGAGGUGACCACCAGGGGCAGGAAGGAAAGGCAGAGAUGAAAAGAGAACCAGCAAGCUCCUUGUUUGCUCUCCUGCGAGGCAGGUGCUAUCAUGAAAAACCCUCUAGUUUAUAAAAGAACAUGCAUACAUGCUAAGUCAGUUACCGCGCCCUGCCCUCCAGGGGAUCUUCCUGACCCAGGGAUCGAACCCAUGUCUCUUACAUCUCCUGUGUUGCAGGUGGGUUCCUUACCACUAGCACCACCUGGGAAACCCUUAUAAAAGAACAGUUGGGUCGAAGUCAUGUUUCUGGAAGCUGGAAUAAAUUAAGGUUAGCUGCUCAGUUGUGGGGAAAACAUUUAAGGUUUUUCAUUCACCUGAGCUCCCCAUACCCUUGCUUCUCUUUUUUCCCUUCUGAUAAGAAUUACCUCCCUGAAGUUUCUAAGAGCUGGCCUGGGUUAGAGUUCCUGGAGGAGACCAGGUGGAACAUCCCCAUCUCAAAGGAGCCGGGAAAGCAUGGGAGUUCCUCCAAGAAGGACUUUCCCUUCCUAAAUCCAGGUCUUUUAUAAUGUCCGCACCUCCCCCCUUUUGAGAUGAAGAGGGGUUGCUUUGAAUGCCUUCUAGAACUGCAUUUCUGUUCUUGUAGAGACUAGGUUUGUAAGACAGGACUGUUUCUAAUUCCACAAGGAAUUGGGUUGCAGCUUAAAUGAACGAAGCCAACAAGAUUUUUUUUACUUUGUUGAAUUUUUUUUUUUUAAACAGCGGUGACAGCCUUGGGAUCCCAAGAGGACUUCACAGUCCAAGAUUCCUGUUUUGAGUUCUCUCCAGCUUUAUUCCGGAUUUGGACAAAGACAGAUUGUCCUUCUGAGCCUGCAGAUGGGAUCCUGGUCAAUCCAGCAGACACCAGCCAGGGUGAGCAUUCUGACCAGAGUCAGUUCUGAAUCUGCCUACCAGGGCCAGCUGAGAGAGAAAGGUAAACUUUCACAUCCCUUCCUUUCCAAAUCCAGACACACUGGUUGAUCUUUUCUCUCUCAGGGGCUAUUGCUGCCUUCUGGUCUGUCUUGUUUUGUGUCCUGAGAACUUGGUGAACGUCAGGUUGGACAAACAGCACAGAAAUGUAAAUUGCACCCGUUUGUAGCUCAGGUCCUGCCUGAUGGGUGCCAGCCCUCAGGGGGAACUGAGUCUUCCCUUUUGGUAAUGGGAGUGGCUCUGGAUCUGGGAGGGUGGUAUCCUUGGCACCCUCUUUGGGAAUGCAUCUUGCGUCCGUGAGGUCUUUCAAUAUGGCCAGGAAUAUUUACUGUUUGUCCUCCUGACAAGAUAUUUAAAAGGUUGUUUAAGUGGCUCUAUGGUCAGAAGUUGGCCAAACUGGAAGCUGAUAUUCAGAGCCUAUUGGGGAUAAAGUUCCUAAGUCAAAAUGAAAAUGUGUACCCAGAGGGAAAGAAAAACAUUCCAAAGACAAAGCUCUAAAUCUGGAGCAUAGGAAUCUUUUGAAUUCCAUCUUAGUCAAUCUUCUGCCUGAUCUAAAGAAGCAAAUAGAAGAUGAUAUAGUUGGAGGCGUGAGACAGCCUGUGAUGUCAUUCACAUUGUAACCUGUCCUUGUCUUAUAAACCUAGUCUUUACAAGAAUAGAAAUGCAGGUUUAGAAGCAAAUCAAAGGGCACCUAUUCUUUUUCUCAGUCCCCAAGCAUACUCCAUUCACUUCAGAAGGCUUGCAGACACUGUAAAAGAUCUGAAUCUAAGAAAGAAAAGUCCUUGAGGGACCUCCCAUUUUGAGCAGCCAAGACAAGGAAGCACCCUGAAUGUCUGUCAGCGGGGGAAUGGAUAAAGAUGUGGCACAUGUACACAAUGGGCUAGGACUCUGCCAUUAGAAAGAAUGAAACGGUGCCAUCUGCAGCAACAUGGAUGGAUCUAGAGAGGGUCACACUGAGGGAAGUAAGCCAGACAGAGGAGGAGAAACACCCUGUGACAUCCCGUGUGCGUGGAACCUAAGACGAAAUGGUAACAAAUGAACUUACUUAGAAAACAGAAACAGACUCAGAGAAUGAUCUCAUGGUUGCCAAGGGGAUGGGACAGAUAGGGAGUUUGGGAUGGACACCUACACAAUGCCACAUUUAAAAUGGAUGAUCAGCAAGGACCUACUGUAUAGCACAGGGAACUCUGCUCAAUGUUACGUGGCAGCCUGGCUGGGAGGGGCUUGGGGGAGGAUAGGUACAUGUAGUAUGUGUAUGGCUGAGUCCCUGCACCGUCCACCUGAAACCAUCACAACAUUGUUAAUUGGCUAUACCCCAGUAUAAGAUAAAAAGUUAAAAAAAAUGUUGUAUAUCACAGAAAUAACAUUUCCUUGUCAAUUUCAUUGUAAUGAACUCUCAUCAGAUCUUUACCAUUGGGCAUUUUUAAGUUAUUAUUUACAGACAGAUCUUUUAUCCUAAUGCUUUUGCAGAAGGGAGAUUCAUGGAAAGUAACCUACCACGAGCUCUUGAUGGCCACAUGGCUGCCCAAUCACAAGGAUCAAACCUUGGGUAGAGACGUCACAACGGAUGAAGGCUCCACCUACCUUCUGGUCCCUCCUGCACAAAAGCUGGCAAUCUCAAACCAAACUGACUAGGGAGAGAAGUGGCCACCACGGAGAUCCCUCCUCCCCCGGCCAAGAGCUGAUGCAAAGGAGGCCAUGAUCGGCAGUCUCUCCUUACCUCUUGAAGAUACUGCAGACCCUGAUGGUAAAGCAACAGCUGCCCAAUAAAAAAUCCCUAGACUGGCCAGAGUUGUUCCUGAUGAGGCAAGCCUCUGACAGCCUCUAGCCGAGCAUGGAGGUGUCUGAGCUGUGACCCACACCCCUGCACCUGGAUCAACACUUCGGGGGAAGGUGAGACUCAGCCACAGAAGAUGACUGAACAAGCCCAGCACUUCCUUAGGCCAACAGCCCAACCAACAUAGUCUGUCUUUGGGGGUCAUUCUCUUUACAAGAGUAGUUACCAUAGGGUGCUGUGUUCUCUCAGAAGCUUUAAAUACAGCUUUGCAGCCACAGGCAACCAAGCACAUGCUCUCCCUCAAACAGAACAUCAGAAAAGGAGCAGAAUGACUGACUGAAAGAGUGUGAACCCAGGGUCAUGGCCUGUGAAGACCACCCAGAGAUUCAGCGAAAAGCCGGGAAGAACUCCAGAGCCAUAGCUGGGGGUAGCCCUGCUGCCUUACAGUUGGAUCACUGAUGAAAAGGGGGGAACUGUUAAAAACAGCAGACCCAAAAUGCAGUUGUAUAGGCUAAGCUCCAUGUCAUCAAACCGAGACUUGACUUUACAGUUUCAGCUCCCCCAGGAAUGGAAUCCCCCAAUCUGCACGAUGAGGACGUCACCUGCCGUCCCCUAAAGGAAAGCAACUGGGCCGUCACCACCUGCCUCUUCAGCUGGUGUAACUGCCUGUGCCUGCCUGCUCCCUCCUGCCUGCACACCCCUGCUUCUGUGCAUCAUCUUGGAGCUCCUUGCUUUCUGCUGGACUGGAAGCUCCUUGAUUCACAAAUCACUGAAAUAAAGCCAGUAGGAUUUUUCAGAUUUA
Long non-coding RNA from Cervus elaphus (red deer), 4398 nucleotides. RefSeq lists it as uncharacterized. NCBI's taxonomy places the organism in Eukaryota, Metazoa, Chordata, Mammalia, Artiodactyla, Cervidae. The record is from RefSeq and is a predicted model, not a curated record. The transcript is spliced from 4 exons.